GAGAUUGUUAUUAAAAGGCCCUCUGAGUUUGAUCUUGCUGAUACACUGCCAUGGGAACUUCAACAUGAAAGCAGUCCUUUACAGAAAGCGGCAGAAUAUGAGAAGGGUGCUGGGGAUCUUGUGCUUGCUAAUGAAGUACAACAGGUCAUAGAUUUGGAAGAAGAAAACGAUACAGGCACUACUGAAUGCCUCACUGUCGAGAGCUCCUGUUACAGAAACUACACACAGCUGUUUGAACCGAUUGUGAUUGAUGAUGAAGAUCCUACUCCUAACGAAGCCAAAGCUGAGCCCCCAGAAGAACCUGUAGACACCAAUUUGCAGGCACAUGAAAUUAUUGCAAAUUUGGC
Molecule: RNA transcript, 347 nt
Organism: Maylandia zebra (zebra mbuna)
Lineage: Eukaryota; Metazoa; Chordata; Actinopteri; Cichliformes; Cichlidae
Source: RefSeq, a predicted model, not a curated record